GGAGGAAGCGCCUGUAUAAUAUAUCACUAACAGUAGGCUAAACAGUUUCACGUCAACCACCCAUCAGAGCCCCCUCCGCCCUCCCGCUGUCCUAACCGGCCGACAAAAAUUUGAUGUGAUUUCCAACUACAGUCAUCUUGGAACUCUUUAGGAACCGGCUCUUUGAUCCUGGUUUUACAAACUAUUUAAGAUCCGUCUACAAGUUAUCGAAACAGAGAAAUGAAGUAGAACAGUUCACUGAAUAUUUAGGAAAGUAAACACAACAACUUGCAUUGCACAGACUUGAUUUCAGUAUUAUUUUUUUUAAGUGGCUCUGUGUGAACUCCCAAACUAACAACAGAAGUAAGGGUUUAUCUUACUGAUGUACACGUGUUUGAAGUUCUUGAGUUCAUGGUCCACACUUAUCUCUGAACAUCUGUCACGUUUCACACCUCUUAUGUUUUGUGACUUCACCUUGUAACACUGUUGUGUUAACAAAGUCUGUCCACAGAUGAAAUUCACAGAAACACUAUUCAACAUUCUCAAAACCAUCUUUGUGAUACUUGCAACUGCAGACAAGUUGGAAGUACUUAGCUUUGUGGUAUCACUCCUUGCUUAGGGAAGUCCUGCUGUGAAACCUCAAGCUGUGCAUUUCUAGGCAUCACGAGCACACGAGCUGGAUCUGACUGUGAAAUUUAGGGAGAUGGUUUGUUCUUUGGCUAAUGACAAGUCAAUCACAUUUUAAAAACUAGUUUGUCCUGCUCUUUGAUUCUACUGGGGACCGUGAGAGUGUUGACAUAGGACAUAGAGCAAGGGAAAUAAUGGCUGUAUUACCAUAGAUUCUAUAUCACAGGAGGUCUUGUUUUUGUACAUGUAACAGUUGCCCCCUCUUGGUUAGAAAGAAAGGCAUUUCCACAUUGGCUUCACUUGUCAGACCUGGAAGCAUGAAUAUUAUAAAAGAUAGGCAUAACUACUAGAUCUGACAAGUAAAGCCAAGAUAACUUAAGCCUUCAUUCUUUUAAAUGUCUGCAAAGUAAAAAAAAUCUUCAAUCUAUAUUUUUUUUAAUUUUGAUAUUUUGAAAAAAACAAAACAAAUAAAACUCAUAAACAGCAACAGGUUAAUAUUCAUUUAUUUAACUGGUUGUUAUUUAGCCAGCCAGCUGCAGUAUUAGCAGUACUGUGUGUUCAGAAUACGUAAUGCAGUUUUUAUAAAAUGCACAAAUAAGUGCAAAAUACACUUUUGUGUUUCUGAAAUAUCAUUUGUAGCUUUGUAAUAUAUAAGAAAGCCAUAAUAUGUAGUUAUAAUAAUACAUUCGGGUUUUCACAUUGUGUGUCUUCAUCUGAGGAAAAUUAUACAGGGACAUCCUUUGUAUUUACUUCAUUUACCUCCACCACCACAGAAUCACAGUCAUUAAGUACUUACACAGGGGUGUGUGUUUGUGUUUGUGCACAUAUGUAAAAUGAUAGACAUUCCUUAAAAAUUAGUGCUCAUCUUAAGUCUUUCGUCACCCUUCAGCUGUUAGUAAACAAAAUGGCGACUGUAGACAACACUGCCAUUAGAGAGUUUAUGUAGGAAA
Oreochromis niloticus (Nile tilapia) is the source of this 1556-nucleotide long non-coding RNA. RefSeq lists it as uncharacterized. The transcript has 2 exons. The record is from RefSeq and is a predicted model, not a curated record. NCBI's taxonomy places the organism in Eukaryota, Metazoa, Chordata, Actinopteri, Cichliformes, Cichlidae.